RNAcentral lists this ribosomal RNA (748 nucleotides) under uncultured bacterium. RNAcentral describes it as "bacterial SSU rRNA". It matches the Rfam family "Bacterial small subunit ribosomal RNA", at positions 92 to 858 of the family's 1533-position model. The record is from RNAcentral.
UGAGUGGCGAAAGGGUGCGUAACACGUGGGAAUUUACCAAAAAGUGGGGAAUCUUGGCGAAAGCCAAAUUAAUACCGCAUGUGAUCGAAAGAUCAAAGUCGGGGACCGCAGCCUGACGCUUUUUGAGAAGCCCGCGGCCCAUCAGCUAGUUGGCGAGGUAAAAGCUCAAAGGCUAUGACGGGUAGCUGGUCUGAGAGGACGACCAGCCACACUGGAACUGAGACACUCCAGACACCUACGGGUGGCAGCAGUCGAGAAUUUUUCACAAUGGACGAAAGUCUGAUAGCGACGCCGCGUGGAGGAUGAAGGUUUUCGGAUUGUAAACUCCUGUCACUGCAGAACGGGUGCGCAUGUUAAUAGCAAGCGCAUUUGAUGGUAUGCGGAGAGGAAGGGACGGCUAUCUGUGCCAGCAGCCGCGGUAAGACAGAGGUCCCGAGCGUUGUUCGGAUUCAUUGGGCAAAGGGUGUGUAGGAGGCCAGGUAAGUCAGGUGUGAAAUCUCAGAGCUUAACUCUGAAUGCGCUUGAUACUGCUUGGCUAGAGGAUCGGAGGGGGUAACGGAAUUUAUGGUGUAGCUGAAAUGCGUAGAUAUCAUAAGGAACACCGGUGGCGAAGGCGGUUACCUGGAAGAUUCGACUCUGAAACACGAAAGCCAGGGGAGCAAACGGGAUUAGAUACCCCGGUAGUCCUGGGUAAACGGUGUGCAUUGGGCGUAUGCGGAUUCGACCCCGUAUGUGUCGUAGAUAACUC